UCAAGUAAUUGAUGCUGACGUGGA
This 24-nucleotide non-coding RNA is filed under the name Arabidopsis thaliana (thale cress). Lineage: Eukaryota; Viridiplantae; Streptophyta; Magnoliopsida; Brassicales; Brassicaceae. The record is from RNAcentral.